GUGGGGAAUAUUGGGCAAUGGGGGAAACCCUGACCCAGCGACGCCGCGUGAGGGAAGAAGGCCUUAGGGUCGUAAACCUCUGUUGUGUGGGAAGAAGAGCGUGACGGUACCACACGAGGAAGUCCCGGCUAACUACGUGCCAGCAGCCGCGGUAAUACGUAGGGGACGAGCGUUGUCCGGAUUUACUGGGCGUAAAGGGCGCGUAGGCGGUCAUUUAAGUCAGCUGUGAAAUGGUUUGGCUUAACCGGAUCAUGCGGUUGAAACUGGAUGACUGGAGUGCUGGAGAGGCAAGUGGAAUUCCCAGUGUAGCGGUGAAAUGCGUAGAUAUUGGGAAGAACACCGGUGGCGAAGGCGACUUGCUGGCCAGCAACUGACGCUGAGGCGCGAAAGUCAGGGGAGCAAACGGGAUUAGAAACCCCAGUAGUCC
RNAcentral lists this ribosomal RNA (427 nucleotides) under uncultured bacterium. RNAcentral's name for it is "partial 16S ribosomal RNA". It matches the Rfam family "Bacterial small subunit ribosomal RNA", at positions 354 to 796 of the family's 1533-position model. The record is from RNAcentral.